This 467-nucleotide ribosomal RNA is filed under the name uncultured bacterium. RNAcentral describes it as "partial 16S ribosomal RNA". It matches the Rfam family "Bacterial small subunit ribosomal RNA", at positions 28 to 506 of the family's 1533-position model. The record is from RNAcentral.
GACGAACGCUGGCGGCGUGCUUAACACAUGCAAGUCGAACGGAAAGGCCCUGCUUUUGUGGGGUGCUCGAGUGGCGAACGGGUGAGUAACACGUGAGUAACCUGCCCUUGACUUUGGGAUAACUUCAGGAAACUGGGGCUAAUACCGGAUAGGAGCUCCUGCUGCAUGGUGGGGGUUGGAAAGUUUCGGCGGUUGGGGAUGGACUCGCGGCUUAUCAGCUUGUUGGUGGGGUAGUGGCUUACCAAGGCUUUGACGGGUAGCCGGCCUGAGAGGGUGACCGGCCACAUUGGGACUGGGAUACCGCCCAGACUCCUACGGGAGGCAGCAAGGGGGGAUAUUGCGCAAUGGGCGGGAGGAGGAUGCAGCAACGCCGCGUCCGGGAUGACGGCCUUCGGGUUGUAAGCCGCUUUUGCCUGUGACGAAGCGUGAGUGACGGUAAUGGGUAAAGAAGCACCGGCUAAAUACGU